Molecule: small nuclear RNA, 103 nt
Organism: Trichechus manatus latirostris (Florida manatee)
Lineage: Eukaryota; Metazoa; Chordata; Mammalia; Sirenia; Trichechidae
Source: RefSeq, a predicted model, not a curated record
UUGCUUCGGCAGCAGAUAUACUAAAAUUGGAAAGAUACGGAGAAGACUAGCAUGGUCCCUGUGCAAGGAUGAUGUGUACAUUUGUGAAGCACUCCAUGUUUUU